Molecule: unclassified non-coding RNA, 684 nt
Filed under: Hevea brasiliensis (rubber tree)
Lineage: Eukaryota; Viridiplantae; Streptophyta; Magnoliopsida; Malpighiales; Euphorbiaceae
Source: RNAcentral
UUACCCAAGCAUGCACUAAGCUUGCGCUCUCCUUGUACCAUCACCUAGGUGAGCCAAGUGAAUGCUUUCAACAACACUGCUAAAAUCAACCCAAAUUCAGUCCCAAGCUAGAAACCCAUUCUGAAAGAUGAGAUUUCAGUACAGAACAUGAGUUCAACAUAAGAAUCAUCAAACUUCAUAAAAAAUAUAGAGAAUCCCAAUGUUCUCAUGCAGAUAAAAUUUCAAAAUCUUGUUGGUGUAGCCAAGACUAACAUGAAAUGGCAGUUUUUCAGCCUAAUUUUUCUUUUUUCCACAUAUAUACUCAUAUGACUUAACAAAUGCCUUUCUGAAAAACUUACUUUCAAGAAGCAUGCCCUGAAAAAGAUCGAAUAUCAACAUCUAAUUGUGAAACCAACUACGCACAAAAACCCAAACCAACAAAGAAAAUCACUUCAAUACCAAAUAACACUAAGUCAACAAUCCAAAGCAUCGAAUCACCAAACCAUCAUAUCUCCUCAAGUCCAAGAGAGAUCAACUUCUUAACAAAGAGGGAGAAUAAGGCAGAGGAUUAAAAUUUUUGGUAGUUAGUAGCCAACAAGAAGGAUUCAGGAUUCGUUAAUAACAAAAUUUAAUUCCAAUACCGAACAUCAAUUCAGUUAAUUCGAAAGGAAUGCAAAUUAAAAUAAAAAUGCAAUUAUCACAAAA